This 334-nucleotide unclassified non-coding RNA is filed under the name soil metagenome. Its description in RNAcentral is "partial contains 5.8S ribosomal RNA, internal transcribed spacer 2, and large subunit ribosomal RNA". The stretch from base 1 to 120 matches the Rfam family "5.8S ribosomal RNA", at positions 35 to 154 of the family's 154-position model. The record is from RNAcentral.
GAUGAAGAACGCAGCGAAAUGCGAUAAGUAAUGUGAAUUGCAGAAUUCAGUGAAUCAUCGAAUCUUUGAACGCACAUUGCGCCCGCCAGUAUUCUGGCGGGCAUGUCUGUUCGAGCGUCAUUUCAACCAUCAAGCCCCCGGCUUGUGUUGGGGACCUGCGGCUGCCGCAGGCCCUGAAAUGCAGUGGCGGGCUCGCUGUCACUCCGAGCGUAGUAGUUACAUCUCGCUCUGGGCGUGCUGCGGGUUCCGGCCGUUAAAAGCCUUAUUUACCCAAGGUUGACCUCGGAUCAGGUAGGAAGACCCGCUGAACUUAAGCAUAUCAAUAAGCGGAGGA